This 961-nucleotide long non-coding RNA is filed under the name Malus domestica (apple). Its description in RNAcentral is "long non-coding RNA (MDOM_LNC010839)". The record is from RNAcentral. Lineage: Eukaryota; Viridiplantae; Streptophyta; Magnoliopsida; Rosales; Rosaceae.
UUUUUGUAAUUUACCCAAAAAUAAAUGAACAAAAUUAGUUGAGUGGAAAUAUUCUCCCUCCGUGGUAAUUAAUUAAGUGGAAAAAUAAAAAAAUUAUAGCGACUUGUGUGGAGCAAAAAGGAAAGGGAUCCUCUCCGGAUCUCUUCCUCCUAAUCCACCAAGUCCAGGGAUCCAGACCGUUGAAAUUUGAUCCAAUGGCUAAAGUUAUUAUAACUUUUAAAGUGAGCCCCUGUUUGUAGCCGUUGGAUUAAAUUUCAACAGCGCAAAUCCCCGAACUUGAUGGAUUAGGAGGAAGGGAUCCUGAGAGGAUUCCUUUCCAAGCAAAAAGACGCUAGGCUAAAAGAAUGGUGUGUAUUUUAUAUAUGUGUGCAUGUGUGUGUGACCACUUUUGCGUAGAAUAUUCUUCAAAUUAACUGGAUUUCGGAUUUCCUGGUUACUUCAAGAAGGAAUUUACUGGAUUUUCCUGGUUAGUUCAAGAAGUGGAUCAAUUACCGUUGUUUUUCAGCCUUUUCUUCUUCACUGAGUAUAUUAACAUUGCCCACACUCAAAUUAAUACUUAAAGAUACUUCCACCAUUGAACUUUUAACAAACUUUAUAGUUAGAUAAAUCACUUUUUUUUCUUUGACAAAUGAUAUUAUCUACACUAAAAGGGUGGGGAAAUGGCUAAGCCUCACAAUGUGUUAGCAAUAAUGUGGUUCAAAUUCACUAUUGGCGAGAGUCGAAUAUAAGAUUUCUCACAUACAAAUGGAGGAAUAUUAUUAAACUGUAGUACUAAGUGACAGAUAAAUCACUUACAAAUAAAAAACAAAAUUAGUUGGAGACGAUUUGGUAUGCGUUAAAUAAAAGCAAACAUGAUUUCAAUUUGGAUAGUAACUAACUAAAACCCAUUAAUAUUAGCAAGAUUUCCUUAUACUCAUUAAUUUAGUUAAUGAAGUGUUUGUUAUUAUAUAUAAUCAGAUAC